AUGAAGCCCAGCUUGCUGGGCGGAUUAGUGGCGAACGGGUGAGUAACACGUGAGUAACCUGCCCUUGACUCUGGGAUAAGCCCGGGAAACUGGGUCUAAUACCGGAUAGGAGCGCCUGUCGCAUGACGGGUGCUGGAAAGAUCUUUCGGUCAUGGAUGGACUCGCGGCCUAUCAGCUUGUUGGUGAGGUAACGGCUCACCAAGGCGACGACGGGUAGCCGGCCUGAGAGGGUGACCGGCCACACUGGGACUGAGACACGGCCCAGACUCCUACGGGAGGCAGCAGUGGGGAAUAUUGCACAAUGGGCGAAAGCCUGAUGCAGCGACGCCGCGUGAGGGAUGACGGCCUUCGGGUUGUAAACCUCUUUCAGCAGGGAAGAAGCGAAAAGUGACGGUACCUGCAGAAGAAGCACCGGCUAACUACGUGCCAGCAGCCGCGGUAAUACGUAGGGUGCGAGCGUUAUCCGGAAUUAUUGGGCGUAAAGAGCUCGUAGGCGGUUUGUCACGUCUGUCGUGAAAGUCCGGGGCUUAACCCCGGAUCUGCGGUGGGUACGGGCAGACUAGAGUGCAGUAGGGGAGACUGGAAUUCCUGGUGUAGCGGUGGAAUGCGCAGAUAUCAGGAGGAACACCGAUGGCGAAGGCAGGUCUCUGGGCUGUAACUGACGCUGAGGAGCGAAAGCAUGGGGAGCGAACAGGAUUAGAUACCCUGGUAGUCCAUGCCGUAAACGUUGGGCACUAGGUGUGGGGACCAUUCCACGGUUUCCGCGCCGCAGCUAACGCAUUAAGUGCCCCGCCUGGGGAGUACGGCCGCAAGGCUAAAACUCAAAGGAAUUGACGGGGGCCCGCACAAGCGGCGGAGCAUGCGGAUUAAUUCGAUGCAACGCGAAGAACCUUACCAAGGCUUGACAUGUUUUCGACCGCCGUGGAGACACGGUUUCCCCUUUGGGGCGGAUUCACAGGUGGUGCAUGGUUGUCGUCAGCUCGUGUCGUGAGAUGUUGGGUUAAGUCCCGCAACGAGCGCAACCCUCGUUCCAUGUUGCCAGCACGUAGUGGUGGGGACUCAUGGGAGACUGCCGGGGUCAACUCGGAGGAAGGUGAGGACGACGUCAAAUCAUCAUGCCCCUUAUGUCUUGGGCUUCACGCAUGCUACAAUGGCCGGUACAAUGGGUUGCGAUACUGUGAGGUGGAGCUAAUCCCAAAAAGCCGGUCUCAGUUCGGAUUGGGGUCUGCAACUCGACCCCAUGAAGUCGGAGUCGCUAGUAAUCGCAGAUCAGCAACGCUGCGGUGAAUACGUUCCCGGGCCUUGUACACACCGCCCGUCAAGUCACGAAAGUCGGUAACACCCGAAGCCGG
This 1352-nucleotide ribosomal RNA is filed under the name bacterium. RNAcentral's name for it is "bacterial SSU rRNA". It matches the Rfam family "Bacterial small subunit ribosomal RNA", at positions 69 to 1430 of the family's 1533-position model. The record is from RNAcentral.